UACGGGAGUGGCAAGCGUUAUCCGGAAUUAUUGGGCGUAAAGCGUCCGCAGGCGGCCCAACAAGUCUGCUGUUAAAAAGUGGAGCUUAACUCCAUCAUGGCAGUGGAAACUGUUGGGCUAGAGUGUGGUAGGGGCAGAGGGAAUUCCCGGUGUAGCGGUGAAAUGCGUAGAUAUCGGGAAGAACACCAGUGGCGAAGGCGCUCUGCUGGGCCAUCACUGACGCUCAUGGACGAAAGCCAGGGGAGCGAAAGGGAUUAGAUACCCCUGUAGUCCUGGCCGUAAACGAUGAACACUAGGUGUCGGGGGAAUCGACCCCUCCGGUGUCGUAGCCAACGCGUUAAGUGUUCCGC
This 350-nucleotide ribosomal RNA is filed under the name uncultured Synechococcus sp. Its description in RNAcentral is "bacterial SSU rRNA". It matches the Rfam family "Bacterial small subunit ribosomal RNA", at positions 524 to 872 of the family's 1533-position model. The record is from RNAcentral. Lineage: Bacteria; Bacillati; Cyanobacteriota; Cyanophyceae; Synechococcales; Synechococcaceae.